GCCUGGGUGGCUUGGUCGGUUAAGCGUCUGACUUCAGCUCAGGUCAUGAUCUCACAGUCCGUGAGUUCGAGACCCGCGUCAGGCU
Molecule: non-coding RNA, 85 nt
Organism: Felis catus (domestic cat)
Lineage: Eukaryota; Metazoa; Chordata; Mammalia; Carnivora; Felidae
Source: Rfam